Wasmannia auropunctata (little fire ant) is the source of this 409-nucleotide long non-coding RNA. RefSeq lists it as uncharacterized. NCBI's taxonomy places the organism in Eukaryota, Metazoa, Arthropoda, Insecta, Hymenoptera, Formicidae. The record is from RefSeq and is a predicted model, not a curated record. The transcript has 3 exons.
AGUGUUUGAGGAAGAAUAAAGUAGCUCUUGAUGAAGAAGCUACUGAAUUUGAUUACGAUAAGGCUAACGAAGACUUUGAACCGGUAUUAGGUGGUGCACUUACACCUGGAAUACAAAUACGCGAUCUUAAAAAGUCUUAUACAACGUGCUGGUUACGAAAUUCUAAAGUCCAUGCUCUGAAAGGAAUAUCCGUAGACUUUUAUAAAGGACAAAUUACUGCACUGCUUGGACACAAUGGAGCAGGCAAAACUACGCUUAUGUCUAUAUUAACAGGUGUGACAAGCGUAACAGAAGGAAAAGUGUUUAUAAAUGGCAAAAAUAUAGAAAAGCACUUGAGUAGUAUUAUAAAUAAAUUAGGACUCUGUCCUCAAGAAAAUAUAGUUUUUCCAGAUUUGAAUGUAUUUGAACA